ACAUGCAGUCGAACGGCAGCACGGGAGCAAUCCUGGUGGCGAGUGGCGAACGGGUGAGUAAUGUAUCGGAACGUGCCCAAUCGUGGGGGAUAACGUAGCGAAAGUUACGCUAAUACCGCAUACGAUCUACGGAUGAAAGCGGGGGAUCGCAAGACCUCGCGCGAUUGGAGCGGCCGAUAUCAGAUUAGGUUGUUGGUGGGGUAAAGGCUCACCAAGCCGAUGAUCUGUAGCUGGUCUGAGAGGACGACCAGCCACACUGGGACUGAGACACGGCCCAGACUCCUACGGGAGGCAGCAGUGGGGAAUUUUGGACAAUGGGCGAAAGCCUGAUCCAGCAAUGCCGCGUGCAGGACGAAGGCCUUCGGGUUGUAAACUGCUUUUGUACGGAACGAAACAGCUCUUUCUAAUACAGAGAGCAAAUGACGGUACCGUAAGAAUAAGCACCGGCUAACUACGUGCCAGCAGCCGCGGUAAUACGUAGGGUGCAAGCGUUAAUCGGAAUUACUGGGCGUAAAGCGUGCGCAGGCGGUCUUUUAAGACAGAUGUGAAAUCCCCGGGCUUAACCUGGGAACCGCAUUUGUGACUGAAAGGCUAGAGUACGGCAGAGGGGGAUGGAAUUCCGCGUGUAGCAGUGAAAUGCGUAGAUAUGCGGAGGAACACCGAUGGCGAAGGCAAUCCCCUGGGCCUGUACUGACGCUCA
This 700-nucleotide ribosomal RNA is filed under the name uncultured bacterium. RNAcentral's name for it is "bacterial SSU rRNA". It matches the Rfam family "Bacterial small subunit ribosomal RNA", at positions 53 to 749 of the family's 1533-position model. The record is from RNAcentral.